RNAcentral lists this ribosomal RNA (467 nucleotides) under uncultured bacterium. RNAcentral's name for it is "partial 16S ribosomal RNA". It matches the Rfam family "Bacterial small subunit ribosomal RNA", at positions 28 to 507 of the family's 1533-position model. The record is from RNAcentral.
GAUGAACGCUGGCGGCGCGCCUAACACAUGCAAGUCGAACGAUUAAAGCACCUUCGGGUGUGUAUAAAGUGGCGAACGGCUGAGUAACACGUGGGCAACCUGCCCCUUUCAUUGGGAUAGCCACGGGAAACCGUGGAUAAUACCGAAUACUUCGAGACUUCCGCAUGGAAGACUCGAGAAAGCUCCGGCGGAGAGGGAUGGGCCCGCGGCCUGUUAGCUUGUUGGUGGGGUAACGGCCUACCAAGGCAAUGAUGGGUAGCUGGGUUGAGAGACCGACCAGCCAAAUUGGGACUGAGACACGGCCCAGACUCCUACGGGAGGCAGCAGUGGGGAAUCUUGCACAAUGGGCGAAAGCCUGAUGCAGCGACGCCGCGUGCGGGAUGAAGGCCUUCGGGUUGUAAACCGCUUUCAGCAGGGACGAGGCGAAAGUGACGGUACCUGCAGAAGAAGCCCCGGCUAACUACGUG